UUAACCCAGUGGUUAGAGUGUUGCUUUCAUACGGCGGGAGUCAUUGGUUCAAAUCCAAU
Molecule: transfer RNA, 59 nt
Filed under: Nymphaea mexicana (mexican water lily)
Lineage: Eukaryota; Viridiplantae; Streptophyta; Magnoliopsida; Nymphaeales; Nymphaeaceae
Description: tRNA-Thr
Source: RNAcentral